This is a non-coding RNA of Schizopora paradoxa, 89 nucleotides long. The record is from the annotation of a GenBank genome assembly. Lineage: Eukaryota; Fungi; Basidiomycota; Agaricomycetes; Hymenochaetales; Schizoporaceae.
GGGCGUCUAGCUCAGUGGUAGUAGCGCUCGCUUUGCACUUUCUUCUAGCCAUAUGCGAGAGGUCAGGCGUUCGAUCCGCCUGUCGUCCA